Molecule: transfer RNA, 87 nt
Filed under: Opitutia bacterium
Lineage: Bacteria; Pseudomonadati; Verrucomicrobiota; Opitutia
Description: tRNA-Leu
Rfam family: tRNA
About the family: Transfer RNA (tRNA) molecules are approximately 80 nucleotides in length. Their secondary structure includes four short double-helical elements and three loops (D, anti-codon, and T loops).
Source: RNAcentral
GCCCGGGUGGCGGAAUUGGUAGACGCUGUGGACUUAAAAUCCAUUGCCCGUGAGGGCGUGCGGGUUCAAGUCCCGCCCCGGGCACCA